This is a long non-coding RNA of Clupea harengus (Atlantic herring), 3528 nucleotides long. The record is from Ensembl. NCBI's taxonomy places the organism in Eukaryota, Metazoa, Chordata, Actinopteri, Clupeiformes, Clupeidae.
ACGGCCUAAUACUCAGCCACCUCACUAUGCACUAAAAAGUCUCAACUCGAACAGGGAUUGUUCAAGUAGUCGCAGCGAGAGUCUUCUCGGAUUGUUUGGCCCGGGCUGUCGCUAGGGGGUGUUACUGGUGGCUUGAGUCAAUAGUAGUGCUCCGACAGCGCCUGCAUUCGUCUCACUUGGACAUUUGCAGUGAUUGGAAGGCUGGCUCACAGAACGGAGACGGUGCGAAGCAGUCCAUUUACGACAGAAGCGCAUCAAAAACAGUGAACGCAUUUCCAAACUGGGUGAUUUGUUAAAGGCAGUUAUCAGCCACGUCUGUCGGCAUUCUCUACAGACUGUUUGGGGAUUUUUAUGUUUAUUCACCGAUGAGAUAUUGGCUCCCUUCUCCCGGCGGUGCUGAAGUGCCGCCCAUGGUGCCUUGCUGAGCGUGACCUUGCUGAGCGUGACCUUGCUGAGCGUGACCUUGCUGAGCGUGACCUUGCUGAGCGUGACCUUGCUGUUCGUGACGGGUCAGUCAUCUUCAGACCAUCAGCACCCUCCAUCUCAGCAGGACCUCCCACGGCCAACUGAGAACUACCCAUCAUGCCUCAGGAACAUGGAUCAACCAAUCAGGUGGACGCCUCAGAUGGUUGAUGGAUUGGUAAAUGCAAACGAAACCCACACAGUCCUCUGCAAACUGCAGUAUUGGGAUUUAUUGCGUUGUGUCGUACCAUUGACACGGAACUUCAACUUAUAGAUAUCUCUGUGGAAGAAUGCAGAUAGAACGCAUUGGACAGAUACAAGUCUGGCUCCAAACUUGGGCUCUGGACUUUCCUGCCCUUAUCUUGUGUGUAAGAUAGCUGAUCUGUCCAACCAGGACCUUGCAAGGAUCUCUUGUAAUUUGUUGUGACAAAAACUGAAUUUGAUGUGGUAAUUCUCAAACAGUGCAGUUUAAAAUGCAGUGAUUUUGAAAAGUUUUUUUUUUUUCUAUCAUAAAUAAUGCAAAAAAUCCCAUGACGUGGCAAUAUUGUGGUAAUACGUGAAAGUUCUUUGAGUCCUUGAAUUUUAUUUGCAAGAUUGCAAAAUUCAGGAAUGAAAUGUCUUGGCUCCCAGUCACCCACCAUGGGCUGACUUCUCAAUUAGCUACUGUAACCAUGCCAACAUGAAACUGAGUGAGACUGAAUUUCAUCAGUUAGCUACUGUAACCUAUGCCAACAUGAAACUGAGUGAAACUGAGUGAGACUGAAUUCCACUGACAUCGGUCUCAAAUGGUGUUCUGUCCGUAAUGGGCCAUUAUAAAAUGUUCCUGUUGGGUUCCAGUCCACAGGGACUUCUGUGCCUCUGAGUAUGUUAGGCAUGUUUACUGUGGGUGAACCUACUAGUGGUUGGCAUGUUUGUGGUAUUUCGGUGUGUGUGUGUGUGUGCGCGCCCGUGUGGGAGAGAGAGGGGGUGAGAAUAUGCUUGACUGGAUGUGUGUGUGUCUGGGUUCCCGCAAGGAUUUUUUUCUUACUAGCCUGGUGUCCAGAAAGAAUUCAUUUUACUGAACGAAUUUGAAACUUACUGCCGCAUGUUUUCAGUAGCAUGUUAGAAACGCAAGUAAUGCCUAAUGUACCCCAUAGGUUGACAUAUGAAAUGUCCUGCUUGAACACCUGAAACUAAGGAACUAGACUAAAGACUGAAGAAUGAAACUUAAGUGUGUCUUAUAAACACACACUUUUCAAGACGAAAAGGAAAACACGCAGGCACUGUUUACGGUUGCUAGCUAGAUCGUUGUGAACCCAUGUUUCUUGCAUAACCUAUGCUGCAAGUUAUAGCCUAGGCUACAAUCACACUCAAUUAGUAUCAAAGCAAUUGCACUACGAGAAAAGAUGAAUUCUGCAUAUUGUUUAUUUGUCAUCAUUUAUCCAAGCAGAAUGUGGUUUGCGUGAACGGAACUACUUCUGUGAAGUGAAUAAGCCUAUACUUACCCUUCUUAACUGCCCCAGUGGGGUAAAUAAGCCUAUACUUCCCCUUCUUAGGUUUGCUGUCAUUAACCGUCACGUUAUAGGCUAUCAAACUAACCCAGAGAGUCACUGAUGUUUCCAGUAGAUUAAGCCCUCCUCGUAGAAAUGUAAAUUUGAUUAGCCAAUCCCCAUGAUGCACCUGGCGGAGCACAGACUGGAGCGGCACGGAGAAUGAAACGUGAUUGGAUGAAAUCCCUCGCACUGACAAAUGGGAAUGGGAAGUGGUCUGAAUUUGUGACUGCAUGAAUAAAAUAACAUAGUAACAAUGAGAUAGGAUUUAUUUGCUUUGGUUAAAACCCAAAUGUCUGGUUUGAGGACGUGUAUAUACAUACAUAUAUGAGAGAGAGGGGGGUGAUGCUAGGCAUGAGAGAGUGUGUGUGUGUGUGUGUGUGUGUGUGUGUGUGUGUGUGUGUGUGUGUGUGUGUGUGUGUGUGUGUGUGUGUGUGUGUGUGUGUGUGUGUGUGUGUGUGUGUGUGUGUGUGUGUGUGUGUGUGUGUGUGUGUGUGUGUGUGUUUCUGUGUUUACCAGCCAAUGCAUUAGCCUUCACUGAUGUAUUAAACAAGAGGGAUAACCUCGACUCCCAGGCAGCCUCCAUGAAUGGCCACUGGCCGUGUUCCCAAGCGCCGGUCUCACGCAGGGCCUCGACACAGGCUGGUCUCACACAGGCUGGUCUCACACACUCAGGGCCUCGCACAGGCUGGUCUCACACAGGCUGGUCUCACACAGGCUGGUCUCACACAGGCUGGGCCUCACACAGUCAGGGUCUCACACAGGCUGGUCUCAGGCAGGCUGGUCUUAUGCAGGGUCUCACACAGGCUGGUCUCACACAGGCUGGUCUCACACAGGCCCCUCUGUCUGUCCCCUGUGCUCCUGCUUCUCUCUCUCCGUCACCGUUUCCUUCACGGCCCGCUCUCGGCCUGCUCAGAGAGCCAGCGUGGAAAAUCUCCCUCAUCAGAUUACAGUAUAUGUGGAGCACACACAGUCUGACCGGCACACUUAAUCAGAACAGUUUGGGAAUCAACGUAAAGCUAGCUUAUUUUUCUAACAUAGUGUGUGUUGUAAAUGGAGAGAAAUCAAAUGUUCUGAUUGAUACGACUGCAAUUUCUUCCUCUGUAGAUUUUUUUUUAGAUCUAAGCACAUUACGUUAUCCGAGAUAAAAGCUGACACAUUUAGUUGUUUGUAUAGUCGUUUGGUGUGCCCCAGACGGCAGACUAGGCCUGCAUUUGAAGUUUAAUUGCUGGAUCCGGGAGCGCGACUCCAAAGUGAUCAUUGGCUCCAGCAAGCGAAACACACCCAAAAAGCACAGCGCGUGGCCCCGGCUGAUAUCAAGAUCAAGCUAAUACCAGAGGAUUGCGGAGAGACUAUAUACAGUGUGUCAGUCAGUCCCUACACCAUUGCAGUGCCCUGGUGUUGUUAUCUCACCGAGUCCUGCUGAAGCCCAGUGGUGGUGGUAUACAGUAAGCAGCUGAUAUGGUGCCUGGUGUUUAGAGCUUGUUGUUGUUGUUGUUGUGAUGAAUAUAUUCAAUUUACCCAUGCUGUAAAGCAG